Monodelphis domestica (gray short-tailed opossum) is the source of this 323-nucleotide long non-coding RNA. The record is from Ensembl. Lineage: Eukaryota; Metazoa; Chordata; Mammalia; Didelphimorphia; Didelphidae.
CUGGGCUGUCCUAAGCCAAGUUUAAGCCACCAUUGGCACAUGUGAGACACAGGAAGUGAUGUAAAGAACUGCCUUUAUAUUUUUCAUAUCACUUCCUGUGAGAGGGAUUUGGUGGCUUUUGAGGCUUUUGUGGACUUGGGCGGUAGAAUUUGACUUGGAGGAACUCUGAUGCAUGGGUCUAGGUGAGACAGCUUCCCCGAAUGGCCAUGUGGGCUGGACAUAUCAUCUCCGGUGCAAUAAACUCCAGUGACUCCCUAUCAACUCCAAGAUCAAAUAUAAAAUCUUCAGGUAGGAGAUUUUAAAGCCUUCAUAUGCUAUCCACU